UACAGAGGUGGCAAGCGUUGUUCGGAAUUACUGGGCGUAAAGGGCGCGUAGGCGGCCGCCUAAGUCAGACGUGAAAUCCCCCGGCUUAACCUGGGAACUGCGUCUGAUACUGGGUGGCUUGAGUUCGGGAGAGGGAUGCGGAAUUCCAGGUGUAGCGGUGAAAUGCGUAGAUAUCUGGAGGAACACCGGUGGCGAAGGCGGCAUCCUGGACCGAUACUGACGCUGAGGCGCGAAAGCUAGGGGAGCAAACGGG
RNAcentral lists this ribosomal RNA (253 nucleotides) under uncultured bacterium. RNAcentral's name for it is "partial 16S ribosomal RNA". It matches the Rfam family "Bacterial small subunit ribosomal RNA", at positions 524 to 776 of the family's 1533-position model. The record is from RNAcentral.